UCUACUAUACAUAUAGAUAAGCUUUGAUCGAAAAAUGUUAUAAUAUAAAUAUUUUAAAGAUUCUUUUUAGAUACAGCAAUAUUCAAACGUCAGUGAGAAAUUACACCUUGGAAUAUUUUUUUACACGAUAUUUAUACUCUUUAAAGUAUAUUUGUAUUUCAACGAAUAAGGGCCUUUUACUAUAUUUUAUAUUCGUACCAAUAUGGAAGUAGCGAGAUCCAAAAAUGAUCGCAAUUGAUCGUACCAUUUAUCUCCUAUUAGAAUCUCGAGAAAUUCAAUGUUGCUGCGCAACAGAAUAGUGAUACAGACCUCCAACACCUACGUAUAAGAGGCAGCUCGCGAAAUUUCAUUCGCUCAUUCAUAAUAGAGCUUCGCGCGCUAAGAGUGUAUGUAGCCAAAUCUCCGUCAGUUUAUCAUCAUUCCUAAGCCUGCAAGUAAUUACAGGAGACUACGGGUAUAUGUUCAAAUUCUAGUACAUACUCCCUUUCUCAACCCAGACCAGCGAUAAUUAAGUGACUCGUGCUUUCAGCAUCCUACGUUUGAUAGGGCGUACAACAAUAUACACGGGAAGGAAUAUUAAUUCCGUUGUGUAACAGCGAUCACAUUUAUUCGCGACGGAUUUCUGUUUAACAGUUGAAGAUCAGCUGGAUUGUUAUGCCAGAAAUGAGUGGCUCGUGGAAUUGCAUUACCUUCGGUAUUAUGUUCGUCCAGCUUUCGAUGGUAUUUAAAGAAUGUGACAAAAAUAUUACUUAAAGCAGCUACAGAGGAUAAAAGUAUCGAGGGUGAGAUAUCAAAUAACUCGGAGAAACGAAUGUUCGUCAUAUUUGAACGAGGCGGAUAAACUCGGAUGUUCAAGUGUUUAUGGGAAAUGAGAAAGCGUAAAAAUGUAGAGAAUGCACGUAAUGUGAAAAGAUAUAGAAAAUGUUCAUGUAUUACAGUGUUCACUAAGGCAGUCGUUAUACUUGAAAGUUCUUACGUGUUUAGGGGAAAAGAUCUAUUUUGCAGAUUUAUUUUUGAAAGAAUGAGCGAUUUGCUUUUGAAUAUUCGGGAAAGAAACAUUGUUCACUGUAUAUCAGAAGGAUAACUUUUAUGUAGAUUUAUAUUUAUUGCUGCUUUGGCGGGGUGUUUUUCAUAGAAUUAAGGACGUCCAUUUUAUUAUGAACUUUUAUCGAACAAACGUACGAUUGCACCAUUUAACAUUCCGUACGUAUUCGUACGAAUGCAUUAUUUAGCAGCAGCAACAGUGGAAACACGGAACGUUACCAGUGUUGAAUAAAAAGAAUUGUUAGAAUGCAGUAGAUUGCAUUUGUAGUUUGUUUCAUGAUACGAUAUUUAUUAUAUCCACUUAUUACAAUAUUACAGUACAGUGCUCUAUAAACGGAAAUCCGUUGUAAAUCAAGAGCAAAUGUUGCCGACGCCAAUUUUCCAGGCUCAAUGCAAAAAAUAAAGAGAGAUAAGUCUUCCCAUUAAAAUAAAAAAUAAUUCUCUUCGAUUCUCAUCUAGAUUAAAUUCUAUUAAUUCGAUUCGAUUCCAUCUACAUUAACAUAAAUUAAAUUCUUGACCUCAAAGAACUGUCAGACGUUAAUGGUUACAAGAAAGAUAUAUUCAAUCGAAUUCGAUAUUUUGCGUUUCGUUAAAUGUCCGCAUUAUCCAGACGUAGACUACGACUGCCAGCAAGCCGAAUCUGUAAAGCUGAGGGUAAUUUCUUCUGUGCAACAGUACGGGCAUCGAUACAAGAAAGUAAUCAAUUUCUCUACAUCAAUUACGAUAGAAGAGUCCUUUAUCAAGUUACUAUUAGAAUAGUAGUUUGAAACGUACAGAAAUGCCAGCUGCGCACGUCUUACACAUUUUAAUUGUUAAUGAACGAACAGCUGAAGCGUACAAAUUGUCUCGAAUUUAGGAUAUUUCGGUGUAAGACGCCUUUUUAAUUUUUAAUUUUUUCCUCGAACCUUCUAAAUGUCUAUCGUUUGUAUUAGAAUUAUCAAAAUGAUCGAGUUCAGAUUCUUUGUUUUCGCGAUAAGUAAAAACAGUAGGAAUUUUUUUAGCGAAAGUAACGUUGAAUUUCAUCCAGACAGAAACAUGAUUAUACAAUCUUCUACAUUAAUCUACAUAUAUGUAGUGAAGCAUCGAUCGGAAGUAAGUAAUUCGGGCGUUAAAGAGAGCACUAUCAAUUGCGAUGCAUAUACUUCUCUUGACAAGUCGUCACGUUUACGUGACACUCGAUGAUCCCCAUUAAUCGCGAGGCUCUGUCAGUCACAGACGUUUAAAAUUAUUGCUCUAAAUGCGUUAUAACGAAAUUUAUUGGAUUUACAACGAGCCUGUUAACGAUCUUGGCGUACUGAUUUCAUCGCACCUUCGACUCGUUCCUUUCGUUUCACCUUUAACCCUUGUCUCUGCAAUUCUCAAGGCAGCCUCUAGCACGCUCUGUCUAGCGACGCGACGGAAGAACGAAUUUCCGGAAGACGAGACCCAAUCGAGCGUCGCCCAUUCGUCACGGCGACUUCUACCGUAAAGAAGACCGAAGAAACGAAAAAAAAACGACGCAUAAACGAACCGCAACUGCGAUUCUCUUGGGAGUUGCGUUGUUCCACCAUGGGGAAUGAAUUUCUUGGUUAAAACUUUUGUUUUGUGCCGGGUAUGAAAAUACAAGACCGUAUUGACUAUACAUGUAUGUUGCCGCUCAUAGAUGUGUGAACAUUUUGCUCGAUUUCUAUUAACAAUACCGGAUUAUUAUUGCCAGGAAUAUACACUUGAAUUAAUGACAGAGUAAUGAUCAAAAAGCAAAAUUUAAAUUGUUUUAAUACCAUGUAAUAUUAAUAUAUGUAUAAUGUUUCUGUUAUAGAUAGAAUAGAAAGCCAAAGGGUGGAAUGAAAAUUGGCUAAAACAAUGAUCGAGAGAUAUAGUGGAUAGAGUCAAAGAAAACAUUUAAUUUUCCUAUAUAUAUACCAAUCCUACACAGUUUAACGAUUCUUAAAGAUUUUAAUAAUUUUCUCACGAUUUAUCAAGCGCAUCUCGAUGGAGGGACUUCCAUCGAUGACGAACUCUGCUCUUGAUGACUAAGGAUUCUAGAAGUUGCUUACAAAACACGUCGGAAUAUCUCGUAAAAACAACCUGUGUACAAAACAAAUAUGUACACGCAUUGAACUGGACACGAGCAAAACAUACCGGAAAGGAGAAGAAUGGGCGGAAAUUGCGCAAAGUUUAGCGUGCGGAUUGAAUAUACGAAGUAAUAAUUAAACAAUUAUUCCGCAUAUAAUUUUCUUUUAAUAAAUAUUUAAUGUCAUAGUAUAUUUUAUAUUUGAUCGUAAUAUAAUUAUGAAAUAUAAGAAUGAUAUCGAUUUAAUUGACAAAUUUAGAUUUCCGUAAUGAAGUCAUAUAUUUAUAAAUAAUAUCAUAGAGUAAUAUUUCAAUGGUUACGGAUCUACCUCUCAUUGAAUUUAAAAAAUUCAGCUCAGUGGAAGUUCUUUGUCUCAAAUGUAAUUUCUUUAUCCCAAACACUUUAUUAAUUAAGAAGAAUUUGCCCAUUAAAUUUUUUCGGAUGGCGCAUUGUUUUUAGUAGUGGAAAUGACAAAGAUUUAUGAACAGAAAAUGCUUGCAGAAGUAGUUACGAAACAUUUAAGCUAGAUAAAUGGUUCAAAUCCUUUAACUGGUGACAGUCUAAGGAGGCAAAUAUUUAGUGUAUGAAAUAUCUCACAGGUCUAAGAUGUACAUCAGUAGUACUUAAAUAUGCGGAGCAUGCACGCCAGCGUGUAAGGGGUGUCAAAAAUUGACAGAAGAAGAAGAAGAAGAAUAAGAAAUCAGCAUCCAGUCAGUUGAGGCUAACACGUGAUCCAGCUGUGUUGAUUAUAUUUUCAUACCCUUCUCAAUGCAUAUAUCAUAGUGAAAUUUCUUUCUAUUUGUAUAAAAAUAAAUUCAACCUGUAGUAAUCAUUUGCAUACUGUGAAAAUGACGUAUGAUAUGCUCAUUGCAUUUGUUACAAUAUGAUUUACUUUCUUUUUACUAAUACUUGUUUCGUUUAAUUAAUCGUUAAUUAUUCGUUUAAUAAUCGUUCGAUAAAUUAACAAAGAUCUAGAAGUGAAAAUCUUUUUACAUCUUUUAUACGUAACUUUUAUUCACUGUCCGUUGUUUAAAUUUUGGUAGCACAAACUUGGUUGUCAUUAAAGGGAUUUCGUAACAUUCUCUAUUCCCGUAAAUUCGCGCUUAAGCGGUUCACACUAUAGAUCUUUCAUCCUAAUGCUGAAUAUCUUCCGCUUCAAUUACCUAUGUGCUAAGUGGCGUAACUAAUGGCUUUGAAUAACCAUAUACAUAUCGAAACACGUAUUAACUUUCUCUUUUACUGCACGAUUAUUGUUGUAAAUUCCUUUUGUCAAUACAAACUUACUUUUCCAAUAGAAUUGUUUAUCUUGAAUGCAUCCUCGUUAAAUAUUCUACAUUAUUAUAUAUGUUAUACAGCGGUUGGAUUUGUCAUAGAAAUUGGUUUAUCGUAGAGAGAAAAAGAUAAAUAUAUUUUCUAGAAUAUUAUUAAUAAAUAUGUUAUUAAAUAUAAUCAAAUGUAUGUGAUUGUAUUGUAUAUUAAACGUUAUUGUCGCAGAAUAUGUUA
Bombus terrestris (buff-tailed bumblebee) is the source of this 4600-nucleotide long non-coding RNA. RefSeq lists it as uncharacterized. Lineage: Eukaryota; Metazoa; Arthropoda; Insecta; Hymenoptera; Apidae. The transcript has 3 exons. The record is from RefSeq and is a predicted model, not a curated record.